This 273-nucleotide long non-coding RNA is filed under the name Gallus gallus (chicken). The record is from RNAcentral. Lineage: Eukaryota; Metazoa; Chordata; Aves; Galliformes; Phasianidae.
GCUCUCUGUGCCCAGGGAGCGGUGCUUCUGCUACUCUGCAGGGUGAUUGCGUCACAAUGCUCUGGCUGUGACGCGUGCCCCUCCGCCCACGGGGAAGCGCCGCUCCUCGGCUGGUGUGCAGAGCAUCAGGAGGCGAUCAUAGAAUCAUAGAAUCGCUAAGGUUGGAAAAGACCCACGGGAUCACCCAGUCCAACCAUUCGCCCUUCACCAAUGGUUCUCGCUAAACCGUGUCCCUCAGCACAACAUCCAAACGGUCUUUGAACGCCACCAGGC